AUCAAGGUAAGCUAAAAAUUAAGCUGUUGGGCUCAUAACCCAAAAAUAGGAAACCUCCUUGAUACC
RNAcentral lists this transfer RNA (66 nucleotides) under Echyridella menziesii. RNAcentral's name for it is "tRNA-Met". Lineage: Eukaryota; Metazoa; Mollusca; Bivalvia; Unionida; Hyriidae. The record is from RNAcentral.